CUCCAGUUAGCCUUCUGGAUAAGGCCUUGGAUUGCCAAUCCGGAGACGGCGGGUUCGAUUCCCGUUCUGGUCG
Aedes albopictus (Asian tiger mosquito) is the source of this 73-nucleotide non-coding RNA. Lineage: Eukaryota; Metazoa; Arthropoda; Insecta; Diptera; Culicidae. The record is from Rfam.